CACCGCCGCCGUACCGCGAGAUCUCCAGCCGCUCGUAAUCCUGGCACCCCUUCCCCGGUGCCAGGAGGGCGAUGCGGAUGGGGAUCUGACGGUACGGCGGCGGCAACGA
Molecule: non-coding RNA, 109 nt
Organism: Actinobacteria bacterium 13_1_20CM_3_71_11
Lineage: Bacteria; Bacillati; Actinomycetota
Source: Rfam